UCCAGGGUGGUGUAAUUGGUAGCACGCUAGGCUGUGGACCUAGAGAUCCUGGUUCGAAUCCAGGCCCGGGACCA
Molecule: transfer RNA, 74 nt
Filed under: Bradyrhizobium valentinum
Lineage: Bacteria; Pseudomonadati; Pseudomonadota; Alphaproteobacteria; Hyphomicrobiales; Nitrobacteraceae
Also listed under: 1 other name
Description: tRNA-His
Rfam family: tRNA
About the family: Transfer RNA (tRNA) molecules are approximately 80 nucleotides in length. Their secondary structure includes four short double-helical elements and three loops (D, anti-codon, and T loops). Further hydrogen bonds mediate the characteristic L-shaped molecular structure. tRNAs have two regions of fundamental functional importance: the anti-codon, which is responsible for specific mRNA codon recognition, and the 3' end, to which the tRNAs corresponding amino acid is attached (by aminoacyl-tRNA synthetases). tRNAs cope with the degeneracy of the genetic code in two manners: having more than one tRNA (with a specific anti-codon) for a particular amino acid; and 'wobble' base-pairing, i.e. permitting non-standard base-pairing at the 3rd anti-codon position.
Source: RNAcentral